Molecule: ribosomal RNA, 1442 nt
Filed under: metagenome
Description: bacterial SSU rRNA
Rfam family: Archaeal small subunit ribosomal RNA
Source: RNAcentral
GUUGAUCCUGCUGGAGGACAUCGCUAUCAGAUUACGACUAAGACAUGCAAGUCUAACGAGGGGUUUAUACCCUUCGUGGCAUAAGGCUCAGUAACACGUAGUCAACCUACCCUAUAGACAGGGAUAACCUCGGGAAACUGAGGACAAUACCUGAUAGGUUAAAGUGUUUGGAAUAACCUUUAAUUAAAACGAGCUCUUGAAUUGUAGAGAGUUUUGCUUUAGGAUGGGACUGCGGCUGAUUAGGCUGUUGGUGGGGUAAUGGCCCACCAAACCUGUGAUCAGUAAAGGCUAUGAUAGUAGGAGCCUUGAGAAGGGCACUGAGACAAGGGCCCUAGCCCUAUGGGGUGCAGCAGUUACGAAAAUUCCACAAUGCGCGAAAGCGUGAUGGAGGUAGUCUGAGUGAUUUCCGAAAGGAUUUCUUUUUACUAGUCUGAAUAGCUGGUAGAAUAAGGGGUGGGUAAAUCUCGUGCCAGCCGCCGCGGUAAUACGAGUAGCCCGAGUGAUGUCCACGAAUAUUGAGUCUAAAACGCCCGUAGCUGGUUUGAAAAGUUUCUUGUGAAAUCUCCUAGCUUAACUAGGAGUAUUGCAGGAAAAACUUUCAGGCUAGGGAGUGGGGGACGCCAAGAGUACUCUAGGGGUAGAGGUUAAAUUCUGUAAUCCUUAGAGGACUUCCAGUGGCGAAAGCGCUUGGCGAAAACACAUCCGACAGUGAGGGGCGAAGGCUAGGGUAGCAAACGGGAUUAGAUACCCCGGUAGUCCUAGCAGUAAAUGAUGCUGACUUGGCGUUGCAACGGCUCCGAGCUUUUGCAGUGUCGAAGAGAAGUCGAUAAGUCAGCUACUUGGGGAGUACGGUCGCAAGAUUGAAACUUAAAGGAAUUGGCGGGGGAGCACUUACAAGAAGUGGAUGCUGCGGUUCAAUUGGAUUCAACGCCGGGAAUCUCACCAGGAGAGACGGCAGGAUGACAGUCAGGCUAAAGACCUUACUUGACGAGCCGAGAGGUGUUGCAUGGCCAGCGUCAGCUCGUGCUGUGAGGUGUCAGCUUAAGUGCUGCAACGAGCGAGAUCUCUGUCCAUUGUUGCUAUUCUAUCAUGCGUGGUAGAAGCACUCUAUGGAGACUGCUCGCGUGAAGUGAGAGGAAGGAAGAGGCGACGCUAGGUCAGUAUGGCCCGAAUCUCCUGGGCCACACGUGGCAUACAAAGGAUAAGACAAUGAGUUCCGACGCCGAAAGGCGAAGGUAAUCUCCCAAACUUAUUCUAAGUCCGGAUUGAGGGCUGAAACUCGUCCUCAUGAAGAUGGAAUUUCUAGUAAUCGCGUGUCAACAUCGCGCGGUGAAUAUGUCCCCGCUCCUUGCACACACCGCCUGUCAAGCCAUCCAAGCUAGGUUUUGGCGAGGCUUAGACUACUAAAGUCUGAUUCGAACCAGGACUUGGUAAGGAGGGUU